Dendroctonus ponderosae (mountain pine beetle) is the source of this 1025-nucleotide RNA transcript. It is a transcript of the gene named fatty acid-binding protein-like, with no coding region annotated. The record is from RefSeq and is a predicted model, not a curated record. The transcript has 4 exons. Lineage: Eukaryota; Metazoa; Arthropoda; Insecta; Coleoptera; Curculionidae.
CGCCGGUUUUUCCGGAACAGGGUAGUUCGUGGUACUCGGGGAUGAUUGAGGGACGCACAGCAGGUCAAAGCGACGUAGUAGACGAAAAGACGCGGCUUGGCUGUAAAAUUUAGAAGACGAAUACGAGUUAUAGAUAAAGCUGUUACAUAGUCUAUAUUUAGUGUUGUGGUGAUAAACCGAAAUCCUAAGAGUAAAUGUAACCAGUAAGUUAACAGUGUGUUAGUUCGUUCAAUCUCAUCUAUUAAACUUUUAUCAUUUAAUACAAUUUUGUGUUUCAAUACCACGUAUCCACUAUUUUGGAGUAAAAUCCUACAAUAAGCCUAGGCUCUCAAUAACGUGUAAGCUGAAAUCAGAAACAACCAAUGAGUGGGUAAUAGAGAACCGAGAACCCAAGAGGAAAAAAUGAAAGACAACAGCAGGGAAAAGUAGAAGAGUGAAGGCACAAAAAUCCCAGGCAUCGCAGCGGAAAGAGCCAAGCAAGUAAAUGGGCUAAAACCGAUUUUGGAAAUUGCAAUUAACGGAAAGGAAUUAAUUUUCACCAGUCUCAGUGGCGAGUUCCAGCAUAAGUCCAUUCUAAUUCUAGACGAAGAAGUAGACGAAACUAUUGCUGUAGAGUACCAUAUUAAGAGUAUUGCAAGAAAAACAGACGACCACACACUGGAAAUCGAAUCGACAGGAACGAUAGCAGAAAGAGGAAUCAGGCGUUACGAGUUUUCAGAUAAAAGCCUCAUUAUGACCAUCGAAAACGACAACAAAAACAUUCCGAUUGCAAGACGAUACUAUAGCCGGAUUUAAACAGAUAAAGAGAAACUUGUACUUAAAGUUAAGCUUAUUUAUUUUUUUGUUUGUGCGUGCUUUUAGUUACAUUAAUUACUAAUUUAUACGGGUACAUGUAGAGUGAAUGCAGCCUAAUCAUCAAAAUUAAUAUGUAAAUUAGCAAUAAUUAUAGUAAAUAAAUACACACUAAAUAAAAUAAAAAAUGAGGCCAAUUUUGUCUUUUGCCUUUUGGUAAUACCGAAAAAGGA